This is a long non-coding RNA of Liolophura sinensis, 290 nucleotides long. RefSeq lists it as uncharacterized. NCBI's taxonomy places the organism in Eukaryota, Metazoa, Mollusca, Polyplacophora, Chitonida, Chitonidae. The record is from RefSeq and is a predicted model, not a curated record. The transcript is spliced from 3 exons.
UUUAGAAUUUGUCCAGGAUGUGAAAUGGGUUUUUUUAAAUUUAAAGCAGGUAUAACUUUUUUUUUCAGAUAUGUAUAACUAAGUGCAAGCAUUUCCAGGACAAUAUGUGUUUAUGAAGUUACCUGUAACAGAAUACCUGUAUAAAGCAAGGAACAGAGGUCAAGAACAGCUGAUAGCAGCAUCAGCAUGAAGAUUGGGAAGCACUGAGCUGAAACAGGAAAGAAGUUCAUAAAAGAGUAUUUUGAGAAGGGUCACUACCAUUAGGGGAGCUCGUCGACAAUUCAGGGGCA